RNAcentral lists this ribosomal RNA (429 nucleotides) under Chloroflexota bacterium. RNAcentral's name for it is "Chloroflexi bacterium partial 16S ribosomal RNA". It matches the Rfam family "Bacterial small subunit ribosomal RNA", at positions 355 to 776 of the family's 1533-position model. Lineage: Bacteria; Bacillati; Chloroflexota. The record is from RNAcentral.
UGGGGAAUAUUGCACAAUGGGCGCAAGCCUGAUGCAGCCAUGCCGCGUGUGUGAAGAAGGCCUUCGGGUUGUAAAGCACUUUCAGCGGGGAGGAAGGCGUUAAGGUUAAUAACCUUGGCGAUUGACGUUACCCGCAGAAGAAGCACCGGCUAACUCCGUGCCAGCAGCCGCGGUAAUACGGAGGGUGCAAGCGUUAAUCGGAAUUACUGGGCGUAAAGCGCACGCAGGCGGUCUGUCAAGUCGGAUGUGAAAUCCCCGGGCUCAACCUGGGAAAUGCAUUCGAAAAUGGCAGGCUAGAGUCUUGUAGAGGGGGGUAGAAUUCCAGGUGUAGCGGUGAAAUGCGUAGAGAUCUGGAGGAAUACCGGUGGCGAAGGCGGCCCCCUGGACAAAGACUGACGCUCAGGUGCGAAAGCGUGGGGAGCAAACAGG